This is a long non-coding RNA of Homo sapiens (human), 2041 nucleotides long. RefSeq lists it as uncharacterized. The record is from RefSeq and is a predicted model, not a curated record. NCBI's taxonomy places the organism in Eukaryota, Metazoa, Chordata, Mammalia, Primates, Hominidae. The transcript is spliced from 4 exons.
AUUUCCAACUGGAGGAACAGCAACUGCAAAGCUCUGUGGCGAGAAUAUCCCUGGCAAAUCCACAGGACAGAAAGUGCAGCCAUCGGUACAUGAGGAAUACAUGGAAGGAAGUGGCAGCAUUUGUUCUGUCAGAUUUUACUUCAUCUAAUUCAUCAUCUGUCAUCAGAAAUAUAAUCUGGAAAAUACCAUAAACCAAGAUACCUGUGAGCAGGUGAUUGCUGAAAAGGUAAAGACACUGAACAGUAUAUGUAAAAAGGAUAUCAGAAGACUCUGAAAGGUAGAGAGAAGAAAGAAGACUUGCCUCAGGACCUGAAGAAAGACGUGGUGGUGGGUUCCCAGAAUUAUUUUUUCAUUCAAACAUCACAAGCUUGAAGCUGAAAAAGCCAGCAACCCAGAAAUGAACGGGCAAAAAUAGACUUUCAAAAAGCCUGCUCCCUCUAGUUGAAGGACCAAAAAAAAAAGGAAAGCCUAGUAAUACAGAAAACAUUCAGACAAUAAUUUUUCUACUCCAGUGAAACGCCAUAAAAGAAACAGAUGAAAAAGCAGAGUGACCCUACUCCUAGCCAUACCAGCAAGGGCCUAGUCGGUGCCUAGACUUCUACACUCUUUAGGCUGUAAUGUGGCAUCCAACAGCCUUGCCAGGGUAGUGUAAGAUUAGACAAUGUAGGAAGCUAGAACUUCUAUCCGCACCAUCUGGUAAUGAGUGACUCUCCCAAAUCUCCCUCACAUGGUAAAAAUGUCAGUGAAGAACAUAUAGGGAGUCUAGUCUUCCAUCUCCACCUGGCAGUAAUGAGGUACUCCUCCCUCUCCCCGCUAGAGUGGUGUCAGAGGAGAUCUAGUGGAGAGUGAUGGCUUUGGGCAUUAACUCUCAAAUGGAGAGGCUACCUGGGAAUCCAGAACACCCAUCUUAUCCAGGAGUAAGGAGGAACUCCCCAACUCAGGUGCCAGUGGAGGCCAAGUUAGGAAGCUGAAUAUCUACGCCCACCUAGUAGUAAUACUACAGUGUGCCCAAAACCCUUUUCUCUGCCAGAAUGAUGUGAGGGAAAACCAGGUUUAAAAGAAUGUUUUAAAUAAGAUCUAGACUGUCAUCAUAACAUCACAUAGAAAUGUCCAGAUUUCAAUAAAAAAAUAAAGAACCAGAAAGAUCUCCAAUUGAAAAAAUAAUAAAUAAAUAGAUGACAACACUGAGAUAACAGAGAUGUUAGAAUUGUCAAAGAUUUUAAAGCACCCGUGACUUUUAAAAAAUGACCCAGUGAACAAUUAUAAACAUGCCAGAAACAAAUAAAAAUAUAGCAAAGAAAUGUCAAGUCUCAGAAAAUAAAUAGAAGAAAUAAAGGAAAUCAAAUGAACAUUUUAAAACUUAAAAAUGCAAUAUCCAACAGAAGAAUGAUGUGGACAGAAGAAAGAAUCAGUGACCCGGAAGUUAGAUAAAUAGGAGCUACUCAAUGUGAAUAACAGAAAAUAGACUGAAAAAACGAACAGAACCCUAGAGACUUUGGAACUAUAACAAAAGAUCUAACAUUCAUGCUAUCAGAAUCAUGAAUGUGGGAAAAGUAUGUGAAGAAACAAUGGCUGAAAACUUCCCAAAUUGGUGUGACACAUAGCUACAGGUUCAAGAGACUAAAUGGAUCACAAAUAGGAUAAACCCAAAGAAACACACACCAAAACACAUAAUAAUUAAAAUUCUGAAAAUUAAGGAGAAAGAAAAAAUCUUGAAGGCUAUGAGAAAGAAAUGCCACCUUACCUUUAGGGCAAAAACAAUUGGAAUAAUGGUGGGUUUUUUAUCAAACAUCGUGGAGGCCAGAAGUAAGUAAAUAUACACAUAAUACACGCUCUAGCAGGUGUACUUCUAGGCAUUUAUCUCAGAGAAAUGAGGUCUUAUGUUUACACAAAACCAAAUGUUUAUAGUGACUUGCAAUAGGUGAAUAAUGGAAACAGCUCAGAUUUUGCUCAACAGAUGAAUAGUUCAACAAACUGUGGUACAUUCAUGCUCUAGAAUAUUAUUUAGCAAUAAAAAAAAAAACAGGCCAGGCAUGGCUGC